GAGUUUGAUCAUGGCUCAGGACGAACGCUGGCGGCGCGCCUAACACAUGCAAGUCGAACGGGAUGCGGAGAGGAUUUAUCUUUUCUGUGUUUAGUGGCGAACGGGUGAGUAACGCGUGAGGAACCUGCCUCAAAGAGGGGACGAACAGUUGGAACGACUGCUAAUACGCAUAAGCCACGGUCCGCAUGGAGAGAGGAAAGGAAGUGAUCCGCUUGUAGAUGGCCUCGCGUCCGAUUAGCUGGUUGGUGAGGUAACGGCCCACCAAGGCGACGAUCGGUAGCCGGACUGAGAGGUUGAACGGCCACA
This 306-nucleotide ribosomal RNA is filed under the name uncultured bacterium. RNAcentral describes it as "bacterial SSU rRNA". It matches the Rfam family "Bacterial small subunit ribosomal RNA", at positions 9 to 312 of the family's 1533-position model. The record is from RNAcentral.